UUUUGCACACAUUUUUAUGAAGUUUCUGUUGUUUAGUUUUUGAAUGGUAACUUCAUAAAUUUGGAACAACCUAAGUAUCAGCUUCUAUUUGGCUUGUUGAUUCUAUCAUGCAAACGGUCAAUAUGAUGUAGCUCGUUCGUCUGCUUACACAUGUAGUAUCAAGCCUAGAUAUUAAGAGGUUUUUAGCCUUUGUAGUGUGCAGGAG
Molecule: long non-coding RNA, 205 nt
Filed under: Eucalyptus grandis
Lineage: Eukaryota; Viridiplantae; Streptophyta; Magnoliopsida; Myrtales; Myrtaceae
Description: long non-coding RNA (EGRA_LNC002758)
Source: RNAcentral